RNAcentral lists this unclassified non-coding RNA (377 nucleotides) under uncultured Parachlamydiaceae bacterium. RNAcentral's name for it is "contains 16S-23S intergenic spacer region". Lineage: Bacteria; Pseudomonadati; Chlamydiota; Chlamydiia; Parachlamydiales; Parachlamydiaceae. The record is from RNAcentral.
UCCUGGUUAACCCAGGCAGUCUCAUUAGAGUUCCCAUCCGAAAUGUUGGCAACUAAUGAUAAGGGUUGCGCUCGUUGCGGGACUUAACCCAACACCUCACGGCACGAGCUGACGACAGCCAUGCAGCACCUGUGCAGCGGCCCCGAAGGGAAAUCUUAUCUCUAAGACUGUCCACUGCAUGUCAAAUCUGGGUAAGGUUCUUCGCGUUGCAUCGAAUUAAACCACAUGCUCCACUGCUUGUGCGGGUCCCCGUCAAUUCUUUUGAGUUUCAGCCUUGCGACUGUACUCCCCAGGCGGUAUACUUAACGCGUUAGCUUCGGCACAACUGGGGUUGAGUCCAGUUACACCAAGUAUACAUAGUUUAGGGCAAGGACUAC